Molecule: non-coding RNA, 4156 nt
Organism: Odocoileus virginianus texanus
Lineage: Eukaryota; Metazoa; Chordata; Mammalia; Artiodactyla; Cervidae
Source: RefSeq, a predicted model, not a curated record
CAGUGCUGUUCGAGUCUAACGGCCUCCGAGGUGCUGACGCCCGUGCCACCUCUGCAGACGCCCCCAAACAAGGGAGAGACCAUUCUAACGCAGAUGCUGUCCACACAGUGCCUCUCAGAAAGGGAACCUAGAGACACACUUGGUCUGUCCGGUGCCGUGACCUCAUCCGCAGCCCCCCUGCACGUCCCGACAGCCACCCUGGCUGCCCCGUGGGAGACCCCCCGGCCGGACACCGCCUCGGCUCCUGCAGCCACCCGCUGGAGCGAAAGCUGAAGGGGGGCUUCUUGUCACGUGUCUAAACAUUGGCGAAGAUGCUCUUCUUAGAAUUACCUGUAGAUACUCUACAUGCAUCCAUGUGCUCACCAACUGUAGUCCGUGUUUUCUUACAGUAAACGAGGUGUUGGCAGGCACGGCAGGAAUACAGAGCAUCUGUAUCCUUCAAGACAGGUUCUAGACACUGGAACGAUGCUCGUGUGUGUUGGGUGGACUGGAGCAGCCACGCAGGAUGUCGGAGGACCGCGGGGGUGACGUCGGGACCAACGGCAGGGCCAGGGGGUGGGGUGCGGACAGAUGCCCCGGCCUCUCCGCGUCUCAGUGCGUAUCUCAGAUAGUAAAUAAGAGGCAGGACGGCUGUUCGGGUGCUGUGGGAGCAGGCUUGAAGGGGCGGCGGGGGGCUGGGUGACGAGGUCCUCCGUUUUCAGGGGUCCCAUCACCUGUCCCAGCUGUGUUCCGCUCCCAUCUGUGCCCAGUGAACCCGACAGAGGACACACGGCUGUGGGAAGGCGUUGAUUGUGUUUUGGGAAAGAGUGCUAGUUGAACACUAAGAAAAGCAGGCUUCUUUGUUUAUUCUCAGGACCUUCUGGUAACAGGGCUACAUUCUGCAAACUGCUUAUAACGGAAGACUGCCCGUCUUAACAAAUGAUCUAGCCACUGAACCCCUCACCCCCACCCCUGACCUGGACCCUUUGAGUCAGAGCGGGAGAACCCCUGGAGCAGGUGGGGGGCCAGGUGACCCCUCGGUCCUGGCGCUCUGGGGCCCUCUUGCACCCACACCCACACCCCCCCCCCGCCUUCCUGUCCAUCUGUCCCAGCAAGUAGGCAUCUUUUCUUCUCGGGCUUGGGGGCCUUCACUCGUGAGUCCCCUCGUUCCCAGAGCGUGGAGGCCCCCAGGCCCGUGGGUGGGGGCGGCUUUAUAUACCUCUUCCUCAGUCACACAGAGGCAAGUUUUAGCGGGGGGUUAAGGCCCAUAAGAAAGGAUCUUAAACCUUGCAGUGUAUGCAGUUAAAAUUGUAUUCCGCAGAGAUAAAUGUUUUCUUUUCCCAUUGCCAUGACACUGUGUGUGAUGGUGGGGUUUCUGAGACGUUCAGGUUUUUGCACAUAGUGAUCUUAUGCAUUAUCACAAGUUACUGCUGCCUUGAAUGAAAAUGUUCUGUGAAAUUUUUUGCAAAAGCUUUACUAGGUUUUUUUUUUUUAAAUUGAAAUUUUGUAAAGGCAGGAAACGGAUUAAAACAAGCAUGCUAAAUAUAUUUUUCAAAAAAGCAAUAAUUUUACAUGUACAGAAAUUAUCCUAACCUUUAAUACUGGUGAGAGCGACAGUUUACUUAAUACAGUAAUGGAUUAGUGCAGUUUUUGUAGAAAUGGGCUUCUGAUACAAAGAGUUGUUUAAACACACACACAUACAAACCCUAAAGUGUGGUUUUCCUGUUCUAAUGAUUUGUUGAAUUAUAUUAUUAUUAUUAUUAUUGUCAUUGUUGUUGUUCUUAGUUAAUGUUUGGUUCUGGAUUCUACUUGUUACUGAAUUUAAAUUACUUGACGGUUCAGGUUACUUUGCAGCAUUUGCAAAUGAUGCAGUGUAACUGGCUAGCUUAUAUCUAUAAAUAUAUAUACAUGUAUGUACACACACAUAUAUGCAUAUAUGUGUAUGUAUAUAUAUAUAACUUUUUUACUUAUUUUUUCCUGAUAUUCUUACACCAGAUAUGUUCCAGAAUGACCUGUCGUGUUGUUUUCAUUAGGGAUGUCCCUGCAGAUGUGAUCGGCGGCUGUAAUUGACUGUCCUGUCAAGUUACUUUGAACAAAGCCACAGAGACACAUUCCUUUGUUCACGCCGGGAAUCAGAAUGCCUUUCUGUCGACUUACGUUUGAUCACGUCCGUAGUCUCCCCACAGUGAUCAUUUCUGCAUUUUCUGGCUUUUAUUUUCUUGGCUGACAGUGAAGGGUGACAGUCCAGGGCCUGCUGUUUCUGUUUGAGUUAUUAAAGGAGCUCUGUACCCAAUGUGGCACAGAGGAGUUGCCUAUGUGCACACCUUCGGAGCCACAGACGGCAUCCGGGGAGCCCCUCUCUGGGCAGCCUGCUGGAAGGGGUGCGUCCUGGGGCCCUGUUGGCCGGACACACAGCCCGAGCCUGUUGGAGUACUGCUUCUGCCUGGAGCACAGAAAUAAGUUUUUCACUUCAUUCAGCAGACUGGGGGUGAGGGUCCCUCUGAGGAUGCUGCCUCCGAGAAAAGCCGUCUGGGGCCUGACUAUGGUUCCCUUCUUCCACUGAUCAUCAGUAUUGUAUGGGUUUGCUCAUGCGUUGAUGUCAGUUCGACCAUAGUAUUUAAUAUGAUUUGUGUUUUACUUAUUUAUUUAGCCAAUGUGGUUUGAUUCGCUUUUUCUUGAAUGAGGAUUUCUGCGUGGUCUCUCCUGUAAGUCACCUUCCGACUGUUACAGACUUCCUACUACCUCUCCCGAUCUGCUGUCUCCUUGUUUCUCGACAGGAUCUUGCAGUGUUGGCGUCAGAUGUAACCUGGACAAUAAAGGGUUUGGUCUUGCACUGCGGCUUCUCCCUGUGUCUCCCCCGCCCCGCGCUCCCGGCCUGCUGGUCUCACUCCUGCUCCUUCUUGCUCACGCCUCUUCCUCCUCGUCCAGCCCAAGUAACACAAAUGACGAGCUUAUAGAGGUCUUUCAGGUUAUUCACUCUUAUUCCUUAACUUGAAGAAUGAACAUUUAUAUUUUCUGAAAACUCAGCCGUUCAGCACCUUCUCCAGGCAUCCGUCCAUUGUCCUGUCUCUUCUCUUCCUUGGCUCCUGGAAGGCCUGGGGCCAUCUCAGACAGAUGCAUUUCCCCUGGGCUAUGACACAGUACAGAUCCUCAAGUCAAGGGGAUGGUGCCUCAUAGGCUUUGAGAAGUACUCGGUACUUUAAGAGCUGCCUCCCCAUGGCUACUUACUUACCUUUAAACCAAGAAAGACACUCCUUUUCGUGAAGAUGCUCUGGGAAACAGCCCUGAGAAUGACAGAGGCCACUUUGGUGACGUGAGGGAGCCUGGAUUGCACCCAGGAUGUCGAAAGCGUCUUUAGAUCUGAUCUGCACGCUCCGUCCCAGGUUGUACACAGACGCGCCCAGGACGUGUGCGCUCCCUGAGGUGUCACCCAGCUUCAUCCUCUGCGGGUCACAGGUGAGGCGGCCUCCGCCGCCUCCUUGGCACCUGGCACGGGUUUGGGCACCUUCUGUCCACCAGGAGUCAGAGUGUGGCCUGCAGGGUGGCAGGUCUAGUUAGAGCGUGGUCACAGCUGCACAGAAGCCUCCUGGCUUUUCACAGGAAGCUUCUCUUCACCCACAUUCCGUCUUCAAAACAGACAAGCGCCCCCCUCCUCGCCCCGCCCUGGGCGGUCUGAACAAUGCACAGAAAACAGUUGGGUCUCUCCAAGUUUGCUUUUCCACUUUCCAAAUGUCUCCAGGUCUGAAGUAGCGUGUGCUGUGCCACUGCUUCUCACCUGCGUGAGUUCAAAUCACAGGACACUUUAUACGCAGAGCAGAAAGGAAGAGAAAGGAAAACGACAGGCCGGGACUUCAGGCGAUGGUUCAGGUGCCCCUGUACGCGUGUCUUUGUGGGAUGACCGAGGGAAAAUGUUCAUUCUUCAACUUUGCUAAUUUUGCUUUGAGGCAGUAAAAUGCAAAAGACCACAGAAUUUGUAUUUCUUUUUUUAAAAUACAAUUUAUAACAUUAUAUUUUGUACUCUUUAUAUUAGAAUUUGUAACUAGAUUGAUGUAUUUAACUCUAUUUCUGAAAAAAAUAAUUCAAUGUUUCAGUUGUGUGAUAAAAAUAUUUAGAUAAGACAUAUUCAUUUUAUUGGAAAUUGAAAUCAAUAAAAACAUCUUGGAGUUCUCGAGUUCUU